UACGGAGGGGGCUAGCGUUGUUCGGAAUUACUGGGCGUAAAGCGCACGUAGGCGGACUCUUAAGUCGGUGGUGAAAUCCUGGAGCUCAACUCCAGAACUGCCUUCGAUACUGAGAGUCUCGAGUCCGGGAGAGGUGAGUGGAACUGCGAGUGUAGAGGUGAAAUUCGUAGAUAUUCGCAAGAACACCAGUGGCGAAGGCGGCUCACUGGCCCGGUACUGACGCUGAGGUGCGAAAGCGUGGGGAGCAAACAGG
This 253-nucleotide ribosomal RNA is filed under the name uncultured bacterium. RNAcentral describes it as "partial 16S ribosomal RNA". It matches the Rfam family "Bacterial small subunit ribosomal RNA", at positions 524 to 776 of the family's 1533-position model. The record is from RNAcentral.